AUUGAACGCUGGCGGCAGGCUUAACACAUGCAAGUCGAGCGGUAACAGAUCUAGCUUGCUAGAUGCUGACGAGCGGCGGACGGGUGAGUAACGCGUAGGAACCUGCCCAGUAGUGGGGGAUAGCCCGGUGAAAACCGGAUUAAUACCGCAUACGCUCUACGGAGGAAAGGGGGCUUCGGCUCUCGCUAUUGGAUGGGCCUGCGUGAGAUUAGCUAGUUGGUGAGGUAAUGGCUCACCAAGGCGACGAUCUCUAGCUGGUCUGAGAGGAUGAUCAGCCACACUGGGACUGAGACACGGCCCAGACUCCUACGGGAGGCAGCAGUGGGGAAUAUUGCACAAUGGGGGAAACCCUGAUGCAGCCAUGCCGCGUGUGUGAAGAAGGCUUUCGGGUUGUAAAAGCACUUUCAGUUGUGAGGAAAAGUUAGUCGCUAAUAUCGGCUAGCCUUGACGUUAGCAACAGAA
RNAcentral lists this ribosomal RNA (462 nucleotides) under uncultured Marinobacter sp. RNAcentral's name for it is "bacterial SSU rRNA". It matches the Rfam family "Bacterial small subunit ribosomal RNA", at positions 30 to 486 of the family's 1533-position model. Lineage: Bacteria; Pseudomonadati; Pseudomonadota; Gammaproteobacteria; Pseudomonadales; Marinobacteraceae. The record is from RNAcentral.